RNAcentral lists this ribosomal RNA (155 nucleotides) under uncultured bacterium. RNAcentral's name for it is "partial 16S ribosomal RNA". It matches the Rfam family "Bacterial small subunit ribosomal RNA", at positions 355 to 507 of the family's 1533-position model. The record is from RNAcentral.
UGAGGAAUAUUGGUCAAUGGCCGCAGGGCUGAACCAGCCAAGUCGCGUGAGGGAUGACGGUCCUAUGGAUUGUAAACCUCUUUUGUCAGGGAGCAAAGGGCGCCACGUGUGGCGUUUUGCGAGUACCUGAAGAAAAAGCAUCGGCUAACUCCGUG